Molecule: ribosomal RNA, 254 nt
Filed under: uncultured bacterium
Lineage: Bacteria
Description: partial 16S ribosomal RNA
Rfam family: Bacterial small subunit ribosomal RNA
Source: RNAcentral
UACGGGGGGAGCAAGCGUUGUUCGGAUUUACUGGGCGUAAAGGGCGCGUAGGCGGCCAGCGCAAGUCAGUUGUGAAAUCUCCGGGCUUAACUCGGAACGGUCAACUGAUACUGUGCGACUAGAGUGCGGAAGGGGCAACUGGAAUUCUUGGUGUAGCGGUGAAAUGCGUAGAUAUCAAGAGGAACACCUGCGGCGAAGGCGGGUUGCUGGGCCGACACUGACGCUGAGGCGCGAAAGCCAGGGGAGCGAACGGG